This 72-nucleotide transfer RNA is filed under the name Ictidomys tridecemlineatus (thirteen-lined ground squirrel). RNAcentral describes it as "Spermophilus tridecemlineatus (thirteen-lined ground squirrel) tRNA". It matches the Rfam family "tRNA". From Rfam's summary of the family: Transfer RNA (tRNA) molecules are approximately 80 nucleotides in length. Their secondary structure includes four short double-helical elements and three loops (D, anti-codon, and T loops). The record is from Rfam by way of RNAcentral. Lineage: Eukaryota; Metazoa; Chordata; Mammalia; Rodentia; Sciuridae.
UGGGGUGUAGUUCAGUGGUAGAAUGCUUGCCUAGCAUGCAUAGGAUCCUUGGUUCCAUCCCUAGCCCUACAA